UGAUAGAGGCGCGGGCGUCAAGAGUACCGCCCCCUCAGAGCCAGGCAGGCAGAGGGCGGGGAAGGGGCGUCUGCCGAGGUCGUGCGUGCGGCUGCCUGGCCGCGCAUGGCCGGGCCGCGGGAGAAGAUCCCGCGGACUGUCGUCCCCUGUAUAGUGGGGGGCGGAGCGCUGUCG
This 174-nucleotide non-coding RNA is filed under the name human gut metagenome. RNAcentral describes it as "Lysine riboswitch". It matches the Rfam family "Lysine riboswitch aptamer". Rfam says of the family: Riboswitches are metabolite binding domains within certain messenger RNAs that serve as precision sensors for their corresponding targets. Allosteric rearrangement of mRNA structure is mediated by ligand binding, and this results in modulation of gene expression. The record is from RNAcentral.